AGCUACUUCAAUUGCCAAAGUUAUGGCUUUCGGUAGCCGAACGUGGGUACUUCCAGAAUUCCCAAUUUGAACCACAGAAACUCAACUAGGCCAAAACUUGAUCCUUUCUUUCCUAAGCUCAAAACUCAACUCAAAAAUAUAUAUUUACGCCAUAAACUAAUCAACUAACCCUACCAAACCUAGAAUUUCAAUUUGCAUUCACAAUUCCUUUAAAUCCACAAGGAAUUUCAAAUCCAACCAAACCCAAAGUAAAAGAACAUUCCAAAAGAAUCAUUAUUUCACAAAGUCUCAUUCUCAACCUCUCAUGUAAUUUAAAUUCUCCUCUUUAUUUCAACCUAAAGCAUAUUACAUAAACUCCUCAAAUUAAAGAGAGAACAAGAUCUCUCUUGCAUGCAACAUCAAUUAACAACAUCCAUGGACAAGAAAAGGAAGAAUUAGCUAUCACAGCACAAGAAAGACUUACCUUUGAAGCUAAACUCCCUAAACACUAGGAUUGCAUGCAAAGAAGAAUUCUUUAUCUACUCUUCAGCUUAAUUCCUUUUUCCUCCCAUCUAGAACUCCUUGCAUGGAAGAGAAAGAAAAAAAAAAG
RNAcentral lists this unclassified non-coding RNA (589 nucleotides) under Hevea brasiliensis (rubber tree). Lineage: Eukaryota; Viridiplantae; Streptophyta; Magnoliopsida; Malpighiales; Euphorbiaceae. The record is from RNAcentral.